This 1481-nucleotide ribosomal RNA is filed under the name uncultured bacterium. Its description in RNAcentral is "bacterial SSU rRNA". It matches the Rfam family "Bacterial small subunit ribosomal RNA". The record is from RNAcentral.
AGAGUUUGAUCCUGGCUCAGGAUGAACGCUAGCGGCAGGCCUAACACAUGCAAGUCGAACGGUAACAUGUCCUUCGGGAUGAUGACGAGUGGCGCACGGGUGCGUAACGCGUAUGCAACCUACCUCUAUCAGGGAGAUAGCCCGGAGAAAUUCGGAUUAAUACCCCAUAGUAUUACUGAUUGGCAUCUAUUAAUAAUUAAAGCUUCGGCGGUACAAGAUGAGCAUGCGUCCUAUUAGCUAGAUGGAGUGGUAAUGGCACCCCAUGGCGACGAUAGGUAGGGGCCCUGAGAGGGAGAUCCCCCACACUGGUACUGAGACACGGACCAGACUCCUACGGGAGGCAGCAGUGAGGAAUAUUGGUCAAUGGUCGGAAGACUGAACCAGCCAUGCCGCGUGCAGGAAGACUGCCCUAUGGGUUGUAAACUGCUUUUGUAUGGGAAGAAUAAGGAGUACGUGUACUCUGAUGACGGUACCAUACGAAUAAGGAUCGGCUAACUCCGUGCCAGCAGCCGCGGUAAUACGGAGGAUCCAAGCGUUAUCCGGAAUCAUUGGGUUUAAAGGGUCCGUAGGCGGUUUGUUAAGUCAGGGGUGAAAGUUUGCAGCUCAACUGUAAAAUUGCCUUUGAUACUGACAGACUUGAAUGAUUAGGAAGUGGUUAGAAUAUGUAGUGUAGCGGUGAAAUGCAUAGAUAUUACAUAGAAUACCAAUUGCGAAGGCAGAUCACUACUAAUUGAUUGACGCUGAUGGACGAAAGCGUGGGGAGCGAACAGGAUUAGAUACCCUGGCAGUCCACGCCGUAAACGAUGGAUACUAGCUGUUCGGAUUUCGGUCUGAGUGGCUAAGCGAAAGUGAUAAGUAUCCCACCUGGGGAGUACGUUCGCAAGAAUGAAACUCAAAGGAAUUGACGGGGGCCCGCACAAGCGGUGGAGCAUGUGGUUUAAUUCGAUGAUGCGCGAGGAACCUUACCAGGGCUUAAAUGUAGACUGACAGGACCAGAGAUGGUUUUUUCUUCGGACAGUUUACAAGGUGCUGCAUGGUUGUCGUCAGCUCGUGCCGUGAGGUGUCAGGUUAAGUCCUAUAACGAGCGCAACCCCUGCCGUUAGUUACCAGCAUGUAAUGAUGGGGACUCUAACGGGACUGCCGGUGCAAACCGUGAGGAAGGUGGGGAUGACGUCAAAUCAUCACGGCCCUUACGUCCUGGGCCACACACGUGCUACAAUGGUAGGUACAGAGGGCAGCCACUUGGUGACAAGGCGCGAAUCCUCAAAGCCUAUCUCAGUUCGGAUCGUAGUCUGCAACUCGACUACGUGAAGCUGGAAUCGCUAGUAAUCGCAUAUCAGCCAUGAUGCGGUGAAUACGUUCCCGGGCCUUGUACACACCGCCCGUCAAGCCAUGGAAGCUGGGGGUACCUGAAGUCGGUGACCGCAAGGAGCUGCCUAGGGUAAAACUAGUAACUGGGGCUAAGUCGUAACAAGGUAACC